GAUGAACGCUAGCUACAGGCUUAACACAUGCAAGUCGAGGGACCGGCGCACGGGUGAGUAACACGUAUCCAACCUGCCCUUUACUCGGGGAUAGACUUUCGAAAGAAAGACUAAUACCCGAAAUAAAGGGUGGGGAUGCGUUCCAUUAGGUUGUUGGUGAGGUAACGGCUCACCAAGCCUUCGAUGGAUAGGGGUUCUGGUGGGAAGGUCCCCCACAUUGGAACUGAGACCCGGUCCAAACUCCUACGUGAGGCAGCAGUGAGGAAUAUUGGUCAAUGGGCGCUAGCCUGAACCAGCCAAGUAGCGUGAAGGAUGAAUGCUUAUGGGUCGUAAACUGCUUUUAUAUAAGAAUAGGUAUUAUAUGAAUAAGGAUCGGCUAACUCCGUGCCAGCAGCCGCGGUAAUUC
This 406-nucleotide ribosomal RNA is filed under the name uncultured bacterium. RNAcentral describes it as "partial 16S ribosomal RNA". It matches the Rfam family "Bacterial small subunit ribosomal RNA", at positions 28 to 526 of the family's 1533-position model. The record is from RNAcentral.